Molecule: ribosomal RNA, 261 nt
Filed under: Triticum aestivum (bread wheat)
Lineage: Eukaryota; Viridiplantae; Streptophyta; Magnoliopsida; Poales; Poaceae
Description: partial small subunit ribosomal RNA
Source: RNAcentral
AUGAUGUGGGGCGUCGCAGCCGCCGUCGCCUCCGCGGCCGCCGUCGCCGUGGCCUCCGGCGCCGAGCUCCUCGCCUGCGACUGCGCCCCGACGGAGCCCGCCGCCGCCGUCGCCGUCGGCAGAUGCGACGAGUUCCUCCUCCGCCAGCGGGAAUCCUCGGCGCCGAGCGGGGCGAGCGGCGGCUCCGGCACGGACGACAAGUUCGCGCCGCGGUUCGACGGCCUGCGCUUCAUCGAGACGCUCGUCACGGCGCACCGCUGA